This 639-nucleotide long non-coding RNA is filed under the name Homo sapiens (human). Its description in RNAcentral is "HSALNT0062132". The record is from RNAcentral. Lineage: Eukaryota; Metazoa; Chordata; Mammalia; Primates; Hominidae.
UUGGGGGUCUGAGAUACAAUCUCUACAUUCCAGAGAAAAGAAGAAUAUCAGUAAAGUAGGAAGAUGUCCCAGAGACUGGAGAGAUGUAGGCAAGUAAAGUUAAGUAAACAGUGAUAGUUAGCUUGAGGACUAAGGUAGAGGUAAAAUGGAAUUGUCCAUGCCCAACCCUCACUGAUCUUUGAAACUGCUCAGCCUGUUGAGUGACUUCUGGUCAAGAAGAAGCCUGGAUUUUCGGAGUGUGGCGACCUGGAAGCAUACUUCUGGUAGCAAUGGGGACACGGGUCAAAGGGGACUUGAGCUUUCAGAAUGAAGACACAUAAUCCCUAUUAGAGUGGAAGACUUAAAAUCGAGUUUGAGACCCACCUUCUGAAACUGCAGGCUCUUGGGAGCCUGAUUUCCGGUGAAGAGUGUUGCUGCUUUGCAUUUUUCACACUUGAACACAGUGAAGAAGAUGAACAUUAAUUAGGAUUAUAGUGCCAUGGAGGCUUACUGUGCUGUGAGAACUCACAAGAAAUAAAAUGCCAUUUCUUUUUUUGGAUGCAAUUCUGAGUGUCAUGUAUGUAUUAGUUCUUGGGCCCAAGCCAAGUUACUUUAGGGGUGAUAUACAAUCUGUUAUUUUUAGAUCAUAUUGGGUAAGGG